GAUGAACGCUAGCUACAGGCUUAACACAUGCAAGUCGCAGGGUAACAUGAGGAAAGCUUGCUUUCCUUGAUGACGACUGGCGCACGGGUGAGUAACGCGUAUCCAACCUUCCCAUAACUACGGGAUAACCCGUUGAAAGACGGCCUAAUACCGUAUGACAUCGUUUGCUGACAUCAAAUAACGAUUAAAGGUUUAGCGGUUAUGGAUGGGGAUGCGUCUGAUUAGCUUGUUGGCGGGGUAACGGCCCACCAAGGCGACGAUCAGUAGGGGUUCUGAGAGGAAGGUCCCCCACAUUGGAACUGAGACACGGUCCAAACUCCUACGGGAGGCAGCAGUGAGGAAUAUUGGUCAAUGGGCGAGAGCCUGAACCAGCCAAGUAGCGUGCAGGAAGACGGCCCUAUGGGUUGUAAACUGCUUUUAUGUGGGGAUAAAGUGCGUGACGUGUCAUGCAUUGCAGGUACCACAUGAAUAAGGACCGGCUAAUUCCGUGCCAGCCGCCGCGGUAAAAGGG
Molecule: ribosomal RNA, 511 nt
Filed under: uncultured Bacteroidales bacterium
Lineage: Bacteria; Pseudomonadati; Bacteroidota; Bacteroidia; Bacteroidales
Description: bacterial SSU rRNA
Rfam family: Bacterial small subunit ribosomal RNA
Source: RNAcentral